Molecule: ribosomal RNA, 459 nt
Filed under: uncultured bacterium
Lineage: Bacteria
Description: partial 16S ribosomal RNA
Rfam family: Bacterial small subunit ribosomal RNA
Source: RNAcentral
CCUACGGGUGGCUGCAGUGAGGAAUAUUGGUCAAUGGCCGGAAGGCUGAACCAGCCAUGCCGCGUGAAGGUCAGUGCCCUAUGGGCGUUAAACUUCUUUUGUUCGGGAGCAAUAAUGGUCACGUGUGGCCAGACGAGAGUACCGUACGAAUAAGCAUCGGCUAACUCCGUGCCAGCAGCCGCGGUAAUACGGGGGAUGCAAGCGUUAUCCGGAUUUACUGGGUGUAAAGGGGGCGCAGACGGCAGCGCAAGCCAGGAGGUAAAGCCCGGGGCCCAACCCCGGGACUGCCCGUGGAACUGCGCGGCUGGAGGGCAGGAGGGGCAGGCGGAAUUCCUGGUGUAGCGGUGAAAUGCGUAGAUAUCAGGAGGAACACCGGUGGCGAAGGCGGCCUGCUGGACUGCGACUGACGUUGAGGCCCGAAAGCGUGGGGAGCAAACAGGAUUAGAUACCCUAGUAGUC